This 830-nucleotide ribosomal RNA is filed under the name uncultured bacterium. RNAcentral's name for it is "bacterial SSU rRNA". It matches the Rfam family "Bacterial small subunit ribosomal RNA", at positions 602 to 1428 of the family's 1533-position model. The record is from RNAcentral.
CGGGGGCUCAACCCCCGGAAGUGCAUUGGAUACUGGCAGACUUGAGUAUGGGAGAGGAAAGUGGAAUUCCGAGUGUAGGAGUGAAAUCCGUAGAUAUUCGGAGGAACACCAGUGGCGAAGGCGGCUUUCUGGACCAAUACUGACGCUGAGAUGCGAAAGCGUGGGGAGCGAACAGGAUUAGAUACCCUGGUAGUCCACGCCGUAAACGAUGGGCACUAGGUGUUGCGGGUAACCACUCCUGCAGUGCCGCAGCUAACGCAUUAAGUGCCCCGCCUGGGGAGUACGGCCGCAAGGCUAAAACUCAAAGGAAUUGACGGGGGCCCGUACAAGCGGUGGAGCAUGUGGUUUAAUUCGACGCAACGCGAAGAACCUUACCUGGGUUUGACAUCCCGAUCGUACAUUAUGGAAACAUAGUGGUCAGCUUGGCUGGAUCGGUGACAGGUGCUGCAUGGCUGUCGUCAGCUCGUGUCGUGAGAUGUUGGGUUAAGUCCCGCAACGAGCGCAACCCUUGUCCUUAGUUGCCAUCAUUUAGUUGGGCACUCUAGGGAGACUGCCGGUGUUAAGCCGGAGGAAGGUGGGGAUGACGUCAAGUCCUCAUGGCCCUUAUAUCCAGGGCUACACACGUGCUACAAUGGCCGGUACAAAGGGCAGCAAUACCGCGAGGUGGAGCUAAUCCCAAAAAGCCGGUCUCAGUUCGGAUUGGAGUCUGCAACUCGACUCCAUGAAGUUGGAAUCGCUAGUAAUCGCGUAUCAGCAUGACGCGGUGAAUACGUUCCCGGGCCUUGUACACACCGCCCGUCACACCACGGGAGUCUAUUGUACCGGAAACC